RNAcentral lists this small RNA (98 nucleotides) under Echinops telfairi (small Madagascar hedgehog). RNAcentral describes it as "7SK RNA (ENSETEG00000025671.1)". Lineage: Eukaryota; Metazoa; Chordata; Mammalia; Afrosoricida; Tenrecidae. The record is from RNAcentral.
ACCGUCCUUUGGUCAAGGGUAUACGGAGUAGCUGCGCUCCCCUGCUAGAACCUCCAAACAAGUCUUAAGGAUAGUGAGUUUUUAGGAGUCAUUUCAGC